Molecule: long non-coding RNA, 1097 nt
Organism: Cervus elaphus (red deer)
Lineage: Eukaryota; Metazoa; Chordata; Mammalia; Artiodactyla; Cervidae
Exons: 3
Source: RefSeq, a predicted model, not a curated record
CAGACAUUGAUUUUGAGGUUCAAAGAGACAGCGUUAGAGAUGUAGAUUCACUGAUCUCCAGACAAAAGAAAACUCGGGGCCAUGGGAUCCUGGCCAGAGGCGCCGAGGGUCAGGACGGGGCUGGACGGCUCGGGAGCAGAGGCGGAGCAUUGAAUUUCAGGCACCAUUCAGUCCAGUAUCCUGUGAUGGAGGAAGCCGAGACAGAAAAGGUCAGAGUAUUCUGGCCUCAGUCACACAGUCGGAGAAGGAACAGCCCAGGCUCAAGUUCCCAGCCUCCUGACCCCAAAGCACCUGUGUGCGUGACACUUAAUGAUUUCGUUUUAUUCUUCACGGAAUCCUGGAAGGUAAGUAUCAGCAGCACCGCUUUACUGAUAACGAGCCAAAGCUCUGAUAAGUUCAGCGUGUUGUCCGAGAUCACACAGGCCAUAAAUAGUGGCGCUGCCUUUCCAAUUUAGAUCAUCGAUCCAAGCCCUUUCUCUUUCUGCUGUGUUUUCCUGGCCCCUGGAAGUGUUCCAUCUUCAUGAACUGUCAUAGGCUUUACUGAUAGUGGGGAAAAUGAGAAGACUCCAAGGCUGGCCAUGUCCCAGGAGAUGAGCUCAUCCUUCUUCCUAUUGCCUGGAGAGGCUGAAGCUCUUCCUGCUUGGUAUCAAGCUGAAGAAGAAGGUUCUUUUGGAAACAAUGUUGAUAUCAUUGUAACUGUAUCACAUGUUUGCUGGAGAAAAGCUGGAAGACAGAGAAGAUAAAAAAUACCCACUUUUAAUUUUAAAAUAUUCUUUAUAAAAUGGGUAAAUGUGCUAUUUAUUUGUAGCCUUUGUCAUUUAAAACAUUUCCAUAUCUUUAGAUAUUUUUCUACAACAUAACCCUUUCCUACAGUAUGAACACACACUACUCUAGUAACAUUGUAUCCUGUUAGGUGACAAUACCGUACUUACUGAAACACAUUAGGUGGUUGUCAUUGAGGCUGGCAUCUUUCAUUAAUGUCUGUGGUGAUUUCCUUAUGACCAACUCCAAUAAACUGAAUUCUAAGUUGGAGGAAUAACUUGGUAAGUUCUUUGAGAUAUAGUGAUAUGCACUUGUAAAUAGUUAUGUAUGUUAGU